This 274-nucleotide ribosomal RNA is filed under the name uncultured bacterium. RNAcentral's name for it is "partial 16S ribosomal RNA". It matches the Rfam family "Bacterial small subunit ribosomal RNA", at positions 523 to 796 of the family's 1533-position model. The record is from RNAcentral.
AUACGGAGGGUGCAAGCGUUACUCGGAAUCACUGGGCGUAAAGCGCGCGCAGGCGGUCUUUUAAGUUGGAUGUGAAAGCCUACGGCUCAACCGUAGAACUGCAUCCAAAACUAUUAGACUAGAGUGUGGGAGAGGAAGAUGGAAUUAGUUGUGUAGGGGUAAAAUCCGUAGAGAUAACUAGGAAUACCAAAAGCGAAGGCAAUCUUCUGGAACACUACUGACGCUGAGGCGCGAAAGCGUGGGGAGCAGACAGGAUUAGAAACCCUAGUAGUCC